GAUGAACGCUGGCGGCGUGCCUAAUACAUGCAAGUCGAGCGAACAGACGAGGAGCUUGCUCCUCUGACGUUAGCAGCGGACGGGUGAGUAACACGUGGAUAACCUACCUAUAAGACUGGGAUAACUUCGGGAAACCGGAGCUAAUACCGGAUAAUAUAUUGAACCGCAUGGUUCAAUAGUGAAAGACGGUUUUGCUGUCACUUAUAGAUGGAUCCGCGCCGCAUUAGCUAGUUGGUAAGGUAACGGCUUACCAAGGCAACGAUGCGUAGCCGACCUGAGAGGGUGAUCGGCCACACUGGAACUGAGACACGGUCCAGAUUCCUACGGGAGGCAGCAGUAGGGAAUCUUCCGCAAUGGGCGAAAGCCUGACGGAGCAACGCCGCGUGAGUGAUGAAGGUCUUCGGAUCGUAAAACUCUGUUAUUAGGGAAGAACAAAUGUGUAAGUAACUAUGCACGUCUUGACGGUACCUAAUCAGAAAGCCACGGCUAACUACGUG
Molecule: ribosomal RNA, 497 nt
Filed under: uncultured bacterium
Lineage: Bacteria
Description: partial 16S ribosomal RNA
Rfam family: Bacterial small subunit ribosomal RNA
Source: RNAcentral